AUUUUUUUUAUGAAUAUGAUAUUGUGCGACGACAAUUCUUUUUUUAUUAGAUAUGUAGAUAUCAACGGCUACUCGUUUUAUUCAUUUCUCAAAUUCUCUGUUAUAUUUAAAAGAAUAUCUAUUGUAAAAUAUUAUUUCACUUUAUAUUCGUUUAUACAAAUUUCAUCAGAUACACUUUACAUUCAACAUGCUUUUUUCUGUGGAUCUUGAUAUUUCGACCGUUUCACAACUGUUUUGUAUUCCGCACAAAAGAAUGAUUCACGCGAAAAAGUAUCUUUGCGACAGAAGUAAGGCUUCUCUUUUCUUUUUUUUCUCCCCCCCCCCCCCUCUCUCUUCUUCUCUUGAAUCGAGUACAGAGGGAUUCCAUUACCGAGCGCACCGAGGUAUCUCAUGACACCGACGUGAGCGUCUCGUACUUCGAUUAAUAAAUCUCGAGAGACUAAUCGAUCGCCCCGUGUCGCAAUUUCCUGCAUGACUCCGGCCAACGUCAGCGCCAAUUUGCCAAAAUCGGGGGCGACGCAACGUGUCGCACAAUCGGCAGACGAAUCGCUCGUUCACUAAUGGAUUUAUGAUUUCAGUCAUUCGCGUGAAAAUGUCCGUCCGCAUCGCCAUGCGCGCACAUACAUUGACAAAGCUAUCUCUUGCACAUUUAUACUUGUAUAAUGCGCUAAAUAUGUCGGAAAAUUUAUUUCCGGAAUGAAAUGUAAAUACAUAUCGUCGCUAAUGUAUAUUCUACGCUCGGCAACGAUCGGUAUCGCUACGUUUAAAUAAUUCAUCAAGUCAAAACGAAACUAAAAGCUUUGCCAUUUAAAUUGCAUAAUCCUUUUUGAAUCCAUUAUGCCAAUUGCAGUUAUAUCUUAUAUAUGCUAAUUUACGUCGAUUCCGGAUGUAUUAUCAAAAACGGCUUUUGCCGCCAGCGGAUCGCGUUUAUUUCGUAUUUCGUUUCGUUUUACUCCCUUACUCCGCGAAAGCUAAUCGUACCAAACAUCCCCGAUAAAUUGAAAGAUAACUCGACGGGAUACAGCUGCGGUUGCAAAAUUGCAAAGUUCCGCGCGCUCCAGAAAGAAGAUUCUUCGAAGUACGGUUUUCCGCUCGCGGAUCAACAAGAGAUGCCGGAAAUGAUAGGUAACAUGGUUUUGUUGGCACUAGCCCGUAACUUCCUGUCGAGGCCAGGCUUGAGAAAACGAAGCCAAUAUCUUGCGCCGACAGCUCGGACGGACUCGAGGCCGGACCAAUUGCCCCGACGUCGGAAGUCGAAGACUUUCUCGGGCGAUCUCGCGCUUCUCAAAACUCCCGACGUGUCUUCCUUCCGCGACUGCACGAAAAAGCCCCCGGUGAUCAAUAUUUAAUCCGUGAGAUAAAAUUCUCUCCGAGAAAUCAAGUUCGGUUGUUGACGUUUUUGACCGAACGUAAAGGAAACGUCUGACUUUAUGACAUCAAACAGGAUAAACAGGAGGCUCAUGGUUAUUGAUGCGCGAAUUUUAUCCCAGCCCUCUGUUCUUUUGUUUAUUUGUUAUUUGUUUAUUUGAGAUUCUGUAGAGUUUAUAUUAUUUUACUUUUUUAUUAAAUUAAAUGGAAUCGAGAUAAUUUCCUCAAACUUUUCAAUGUUAAAACUCUAAAAUCGUGAUAGCUCCGAUCUUCACGGGCUGAGGAAUUUUGCAAAAUUCUGGUGGCUUCGUGCGCGCGUUUAAAAUAUCGAAGGCAACACGGCGACACGUUUGUUUAUGUGUUGCAUCCUUGGCGGACCUGCACACGAUCUCUCACGUGUGGACCGAGGGUGGACAGCGGGAAAAGUUAUGCAAACUAGCGAUACUGAAGCGUGGCACCGCAUAUACGCGCGCAUCCCGCGCGCGUGCACAUAUAAUUCGCGUCGCUCGGUCGAUUCGCGCGGAAUUAUGCGAUUUGCACACACGGGCCUGCAUAUGGAAAUACACGUUUCCCGUGCGCGGUCACGAAAUUGCAGACUCGUGUAUUCCAUUCUUCAUCAUCCUUCGAUGAUUCAGCUGUCACGGCGGAGCCAGACGUCGUCGUUCCGGCCCGACUGUUGUCCCACCUACAUCGAAUUACGAUAAAACGUAAAAAAAAAAAAGAGGGAAAAUGCUAUCUCGCGUGCAAAACAAUACGACACCUGUUCGCUCGCCUGUCGCCUUUCGGCGAGGUGAAUAGUCGCCGGCUGUCGACACGCGACACACGCACUUUUGCCGCAAUCGAUAAAUACUACGGCGACUUUUUGCGCCACGAUUGGCCCAUGUUGGAACGCUUUAAUCUUUGACCCUAGGCUCCCGUUUCUCGCAAUUGGCCACUUCUCUCAUUGCUCUCAUACACUUAUCUCGCUUGAAUAAAUAUACGUAGCGUAAAUAAGACUCGAAUGUUUUUCCUGCGAACCGGUCGUGUGACGUAAAUCGAUGGGAUAAAUAGAUCGCGCGAUAAAUAGAUUGCUCAAAGUAGGUAAGAAAA
This is a long non-coding RNA of Monomorium pharaonis (pharaoh ant), 2457 nucleotides long. RefSeq lists it as uncharacterized. The transcript has 2 exons. Lineage: Eukaryota; Metazoa; Arthropoda; Insecta; Hymenoptera; Formicidae. The record is from RefSeq and is a predicted model, not a curated record.